Phascolarctos cinereus (koala) is the source of this 573-nucleotide non-coding RNA. The record is from RefSeq and is a predicted model, not a curated record. NCBI's taxonomy places the organism in Eukaryota, Metazoa, Chordata, Mammalia, Diprotodontia, Phascolarctidae.
AUAAACGUUUACUGAAAUGAAACUGAAAAAUGGGCAAAGAUAGGUGGGAGAGAGAUUAAAAUACGGGAAGGACAGCCUGUGUCUCCUGGACAUGGAAGCAGGAGUACAGGAUGAGCUCCACAACACACACACACAACAGUCAAGUUUGUCCAGAACACAGCAUGUGUGAAAGAAAGGAGCAAUGCAAAAUAAGCCAGGAAACGCAGCUUUGGGAAGGACAGACUGGAAAAGGGCGAGACAAGAGGUAGCCGCAACCCUUGAUACAAAGCUAUUCUAAGACUCAAGUAAGCAAGCCCAACUGCACUGCUGAAAGGAGAACACUUCCCAGAAAGAUUCCACUUCCUCAGAGAAGGUCAGCACAUGGGAACAGUGUGUGAUUGAGAAUGCCCUCAAGUUAAAACAGCCUUCAAAUGUUAAGAUGGUCUUACUCCAGCAAAGUGAGGCCCUUUGAAAAAAAGGAUAAUCAUUAAAGCAUUCAGAGCAGGUUUGGGAAAACAAAGGAAAUCUCAUCUUCUAAGCUUUGAAAAAGACCGGACUGUUGCAUUCUACAGAAUAAAAAGUAUGAAUCAGAAA